Macaca mulatta (Rhesus monkey) is the source of this 1607-nucleotide long non-coding RNA. The record is from Ensembl. NCBI's taxonomy places the organism in Eukaryota, Metazoa, Chordata, Mammalia, Primates, Cercopithecidae.
CUCCCUGUUUUGCCUUUUCGAAAAUGUGAUACCUGAUCUCUAGGUCUAGCAGGCUGAGAAAUUUUUUGUAUUUGUAUAAUACGGUGUCUGGCCUUCCCCCUGACCUGCUGAUGUAUUUUUGGCCUCAUUAGUAGUCAGGGAGAUGCCUUAGUGCAUCCAGCACUGCAAGUCAGGGAUGAAACACACUACAACAGAGAGAGGGAGCAAGCGCGAGAGGAUAUUAGAAGAGAGGCUUGUCUCCAAGAUAUGGAAGGAAGUGAGAAAUGACAAGGCUGCAAGCUUUGUAUGUAGGAGACCGGCAGGGCGGGGGAGCGGCGAGGAGAGCCAAGUGGAUUCUCAGAAAAGGGGGGAAGCCAUCGAAGAGCUAAAGGUGAUUAGAGGGGGAUAUUGAUUUCUUAUUCUGCCAGAGAUUUAAGCAGGCAUGCGAGGAAUCUGCACCAUGGUUGGCAAAAGGAGACCCGUUGCCUCCUGUAACCAGACACUCGGGCUUUCCAGGAGCCCAGGGAGCAAGCCGAGAAGAAAGGGGGCAGUGUGGUCUAGGAAAAUUCAACUUGUCGCUGAUUUGUGCCUGAUGCCUGCUGUCCGUCAGCAGCCUCCCUUACAAUCUUUUUUUCUCUCUCUCCCUUUUUUUUCCCUUGCCUUCUCCUUCUUCACUGAAGCCUAGGGGAGCCAGUAAAGAUUAAAUGUGCUUCUCAAAGGCAGCCACUUCAUGCUGCUAUGUCGAAAGGGCCAUUAUUAUUAUUAUAUUUUAAUAGUAAAAGAGAAAGGGAGAGAGGUUGAGCGAGCGAGAGAGAAGCUAGGUGUGAUGAUGACAGACUAGCUUUUCUGAGAGGAAAAGGAAAAGGGAAGGGAGAGAAAAAGGAGAGCCCCUGAGCUCAACGGAGGAUUGUGCCUGAGAAGAACCUACAGAGAUAACCCUCCUUCCUCCACCUCACAAAAGCUCACAAGCUGCAACCCUUCUGAUGUCCGCUCCCACACGAGCCAGCUUCAGGCCUUUUUCAAGUUCUGUAGGUCAGAAUUCUGACAUGGAUCUCACUGGGCUAAAACCAAGCUGUUGGCAUGGCUGAAUUCCUUCUGGAAACUCUAAUGUGACUGGAGUGAUUUGCACCCGGAUGCCUAGACUCGCCAUCUGCUCAAAGAUUGCUCAGAAAGCCCUCUCAUGCAUUCCCCUGCUGCAUACCAGCCCACUCUGCCUGCAGCUGCUGUCUGCAGGACUUCACAUCUACGCCACACUGUUUAAAAGCUGUGCUUCAAGAAAUCACAAAAACAUAUGACUGCACCUACUACACAGCCUAAAUGCGGCAUAAGUUGACCUUGCUUUCUAAGAAGUGGGGCAAGAAAUGCUUUUUUGUGUGUGUCAUGUCUGUUUGUUUUUCAAUUAAGAGAGGAAAGCAUUAGGCAGAUGGAAUGUACAUGCGAGGAUGAGGAGACAGAAAACAAGUAGCCCUUUCCAUCAAGAUAAAGAGUUUUCUGGGGUCGCUGGCUCUUGAAUGUCACUCCUGAUUUCUCUUUCCAAGGCACUGUACCACCAGCCUACUGAGAUUGUGUGGGAGCUUUCAUGGGGGUUAUAUUUCACUAAUGGAAAUAAAUUUUGUGCAUAAUCUGAA